This 1568-nucleotide ribosomal RNA is filed under the name Mormoops megalophylla (ghost-faced bat). RNAcentral describes it as "16S ribosomal RNA". It matches the Rfam family "Bacterial large subunit ribosomal RNA", at positions 385 to 2925 of the family's 2925-position model. The record is from RNAcentral. Lineage: Eukaryota; Metazoa; Chordata; Mammalia; Chiroptera; Mormoopidae.
GCCGUACUUAGCCCAGCAAAACCCCAACUCAACUAUCAACCCACAUUAAAACAAAACAUUUACCAACUCAUAAUUAAAGUAUAGGAGAUAGAAAUUCUAACUGGCGCUAUAGAGACAGUACCGCAAGGGAACAAUGAAAGAAAACACCAGAGCAAUGAACAGCAAAGAUUACUCCUUAUACCUUUUGCAUAAUGAUUUAACUAGAGCAAUUUGGCAAAGAGAACUUAAGUUAAACCCCCCGAAACCAGACGAGCUAUUCAUGAGCAGUUUAUGGAACGAACUCAUCUAUGUGGCAAAAUAGUGAGACGACUUAUGAAUAGAGGUGACAAGCCUACCGAGCCUGGUGAUAGCUGGUUGUCCAGACAAGAAUCUCAGUUCAAAUUUAAACUUACCUAUAAACCUUACAAAUUCCACUGUAAGUUUAAAGAAUAAUCUAAAAAGGUACAGCUUUUUAGACACAGGAUACAACCUUAAUUGGUGAGUAAGCACAAAACCAAUCCAUAGUAGGCCCAGAAGCAGCCAUCAAUAAAGAAAGCGUUAAAGCUCAACAACACACCAACCUUAAUCCCUACAGUAUAAGCCAACUCCCAAUACAAACACUGGACCACUCCAUAACCAUAUGGAAGAGAUAAUGUUAAUAUGAGUAACAAGAAAUAAUUCUCCCUGCACAAGCAUAUAUCAGAUCGAAUGCUCACUGAUAGUUAACAAGCCACGAAGCAAAUCCAAAAACUAGUUCUUCACCCAACUACUUGUUGACCCAACACAGGAGUGCACCUCAAGGGAAAGAUUAAAACGAAUAAAAGGAACUCGGCAAACACAAACCCCGCCUGUUUACCAAAAACAUCACCUCUAGCAUUACCAGUAUUAGAGGCACUGCCUGCCCAGUGACGUUAGUUCAACGGCCGCGGUAUCCUGACCGUGCAAAGGUAGCAUAAUCACUUGUUCUCUAAAUAAGGACUUGUAUGAAUGGCCACACGAGGGUUUUACUGUCUCUUAUUCGCAAUCAGUGAAAUUGACCUCCCCGUGAAGAGGCGGGGAUACCAAAACAAGACGAGAAGACCCUAUGGAGCUUUAAUUAACUAGCCUAAGAAUAACCAACUUCACCUAAAGGAACAAAAUACUUUCAAAUAGGCUAGCAAUUUCGGUUGGGGUGACCUCGGAGCAUAAAACACCCUCCGAGUGAUUACAAUUCUAGACCUACCGGUCAAAACCAUAUCACUUAUUGAUCCAAAAAUACUUUUGAUCAACGGAACAAGUUACCCUAGGGAUAACAGCGCAAUCCUAUCUUAGAGUCCUUAUCGACGAUUAGGGUUUACGACCUCGAUGUUGGAUCAGGACAUCCCAAUGGUGCAGCAGCUAUUAAUGGUUCGUUUGUUCAACGAUUAAAGUCCUACGUGAUCUGAGUUCAGACCGGAGUAAUCCAGGUCGGUUUCUAUCUGUUUAACGUCUCUCCCAGUACGAAAGGAUAAGAGAGGCAGGGCCAACCUCAAAAAGCGCCCUCGAAAUCAACAGAUGACCUAGUCUCAAUCUGAUACAUCACUAACACCCCUGCCCCAGACCAGGGUUUU